GAAUCUUGCACAAUGGGCGAAAGCCUGAUGCAGCAAUGCCGCGUGAGUGAAGAAGGCCCUUGGGUUGUAAAGCUCUUUCGACUGAGAAGAAGGGGGAUGCGGUGAAUAAUCGCAUUUUCUGACGGUAUCAGAUGAAGAAGCACCGGCUAACUCCGUGCCAGCAGCCGCGGUAAUACGGAGGGUGCAAGCGUUGUUCGGAAUUACUGGGCGUAAAGCGCACGUAGGCGGGUUUGUAAGUCAAUUGUGAAAGCCCCGGGCUCAACCUGGGAAUUGCAGUUGAAACUGCUAACCUUGAAUGCAUGAGAGGGUAGUGGAAUUCCCGGUGUAGAAGUGAAAUUCGUAGAUAUCGGGAGGAACACCAGAGGCGAAGGCGGCUACCUGGCACUGCAUUGACGCUGAGGUGCGAAAGCGUGGGGAGCAAACAGG
Molecule: ribosomal RNA, 426 nt
Filed under: uncultured bacterium
Lineage: Bacteria
Description: bacterial SSU rRNA
Rfam family: Bacterial small subunit ribosomal RNA
Source: RNAcentral